GAUUACUUGAGUGCAAAAGAGGACAGUGGAACUCCAUGUGUAGCGGUGAAAUGCGUAGAUAUAUGGAAGAACACCAGUGGCGAAGGCGGCUUGCUGGACUGUAACUGACGCUGAGGCUCGAAAGUAUGGGUAGCAAACAGGAUUAGAUACCCUGGUAGUCCAUGCCGUAAACGAUGAAUGCUAAGUGUUGGAAGGUUUCCGCCCUUCAGUGCUGCAGCUAACGCAUUAAGCAUUCCGCCUGGGGAGUACGACCGCAAGGCUGAAACUCAAAGGAAUUGACGGGGACCCGCACAAGCGGUGGAGCAUGUGUUUUUAAUUCGA
RNAcentral lists this ribosomal RNA (321 nucleotides) under uncultured bacterium. RNAcentral's name for it is "bacterial SSU rRNA". It matches the Rfam family "Bacterial small subunit ribosomal RNA", at positions 636 to 954 of the family's 1533-position model. The record is from RNAcentral.